GGAUGCGAUCAUACCAGCACUAAAGCACCGGAUCCCAUCAGAACUCCGAAGUUAAGCGUGCUUGGACGAGAGUAGUACUAGGAUGGGUGACCUCUUGGGAAGUCCUCGUGUUGCAUCCCUCC
Molecule: ribosomal RNA, 122 nt
Filed under: Oryza rufipogon (brownbeard rice)
Lineage: Eukaryota; Viridiplantae; Streptophyta; Magnoliopsida; Poales; Poaceae
Source: RNAcentral